Molecule: non-coding RNA, 20 nt
Filed under: Arabidopsis thaliana (thale cress)
Lineage: Eukaryota; Viridiplantae; Streptophyta; Magnoliopsida; Brassicales; Brassicaceae
Source: RNAcentral
GAUCUGAUUGGUAACCAAAA